This 433-nucleotide ribosomal RNA is filed under the name uncultured bacterium. RNAcentral's name for it is "partial 16S ribosomal RNA". It matches the Rfam family "Bacterial small subunit ribosomal RNA", at positions 29 to 507 of the family's 1533-position model. The record is from RNAcentral.
AACGAACGCUGGCGGCAGGCCUAACACAUGCAAGUCGAGCGAGCAUUUCGGUGCUAGCGGCGGACGGGUGAGUAACGCGUGGGAACGUGCCCUUUUCUGCGGAAUAGUCCUGGGAAACUGGGGGUAAUACCGCAUACGCCCUUUUGGGGAAAGAUUUAUCGGAGAAGGAUCGGCCCGCGUUGGAUUAGGUAGUUGGUGGGGUAAUGGCCCACCAAGCCGACGAUCCAUAGCUGGUUUGAGAGGAUGAUCAGCCACACUGGGACUGAGACACGGCCCAGACUCCUACGGGAGGCAGCAGUGGGGAAUCUUAGACAAUGGGGGCAACCCUGAUCUAGCCAUGCCGCGUGAGUGAUGAAGGCCUUAGGGUUGUAAAGCUCUUUAAGCUGGGAAGAUAAUGACGGUACCAGCAGAAGAAGCCCCGGCUAACUCCGUG